This 513-nucleotide ribosomal RNA is filed under the name Paraplectonema sp. BI-LSU-232. RNAcentral's name for it is "eukaryotic LSU rRNA". It matches the Rfam family "Eukaryotic large subunit ribosomal RNA", at positions 655 to 1146 of the family's 3401-position model. Lineage: Eukaryota; Metazoa; Nematoda; Chromadorea; Plectida; Leptolaimidae. The record is from RNAcentral.
UGAAACACGGACCAAGGAGUCUAGCAUGUGCGCGAGUCAAUGGGUGUAGAAACCCAAAGGCGAAAUGAAAGUGAAGGCCGGCUAGAUCGGCUGAUACGGGAUCCGUUGCUUCGGCGGCGGCGCACCGUAGCCCCGUUCCGACCGCUUGCGGUAGGGCGGCGGUAGAGCGUACACGCUGGUACCCGAAAGAUGGUGAACUAUGCCUGAGCAGGACGAAGCCAGAGGAAACUCUGGUGGAAGUCCGCAACGGUUCUGACGUGCAAAUCGAUCGUUAGACUUGGGUAUAGGGGCGAAAGACUAAUCGAACCAUCUAGUAGCUGGUUCCCUCCGAAGUUUCCCCCAGGAUAGCUGGAACUCGGUGCAGUUGUAUCCGGUAAAGCGAAUGAUUAGAGGCCUUGGGGACGAAACGACCUCAACCUAUUCUCAAACUUUAAAUGGGUACGAAGCCGCGGUUGCUUGACUCGAACCGUUGGCGAAGAAUGCGAGCUCCAAGUGGGCCAUUUUUGGUAAGCA